GUGCUCGCUUCGGCAGCACAUAUACUAAAAUUGGAACCCUACAGAGUAGAUUAGCAUGGCCCCUGCUCAAGGAUGACAUGUAAAUUCAUGAAGCAUUACAUAUUAAA
Physeter macrocephalus (sperm whale) is the source of this 107-nucleotide small nuclear RNA. The record is from Ensembl. Lineage: Eukaryota; Metazoa; Chordata; Mammalia; Artiodactyla; Physeteridae.